Molecule: ribosomal RNA, 501 nt
Filed under: uncultured bacterium
Lineage: Bacteria
Description: partial 16S ribosomal RNA
Rfam family: Bacterial small subunit ribosomal RNA
Source: RNAcentral
AUUGAACGCUGGCGGCAGGCUUAACACAUGCAAGUCGAGCGGAGAUGAGGUGCUUGCACCUUAUCUUAGCGGCGGACGGGUGAGUAAUGCUUAGGAAUCUGCCUAUUAGUGGGGGACAACAUUCCGAAAGGAAUGCUAAUACCGCAUACGUCCUACGGGAGAAAGCAGGGGAUCUUCGGACCUUGCGCUAAUAGAUGAGCCUAAGUCGGAUUAGCUAGUUGGUGGGGUAAAGGCCUACCAAGGCGACGAUCUGUAGCGGGUCUGAGAGGAUGAUCCGGCACGCUGGGACUGAGACACGGCCCAGACUCGUACGGGAGGCAGCAGUGGGGAAUAUUGGACAAUGGGGGAGACCCUGAUCCAGCCAUGCCGCGUGUGUGAAGAAGGCCUUAUGGUUGUAAAGCACUUUAAGCGAGGAGGAGGCUACUGAGACUAAUACUCUUGGGUAGUGGACGUUACUCGCAGAAGAAGCACCUGCUAACUCUGUGCCAUCAGCCGCGGUAA